This 78-nucleotide microRNA precursor is filed under the name Schistosoma margrebowiei. RNAcentral's name for it is "mir-3492 microRNA precursor family". It matches the Rfam family "mir-3492 microRNA precursor family". The record is from Rfam by way of RNAcentral. Lineage: Eukaryota; Metazoa; Platyhelminthes; Trematoda; Strigeidida; Schistosomatidae.
AGCAUUUUGUAUCCGUGCUGAGAUUUCGUCGGACACUUACCCUAUAGGACUGAUCAAACUUCUAAGAUAAGUGAAGUC